GACGAACGCUGGCGGCAUGCCUAAUACAUGCAAGUCGAGCGAACGGACGAGAAGUUUGCUCCCCUGAUGUCAGCGCCCGACGGAUGAGUCACACGUGUAUAACCUACCUCUAAGACCGGGAUACCUACGGGAGACCGUAGCUAAUACCGGAUAAUAUUUUGAAUUGCAUGGUUCAAAAGUGAAAGACGUUCUUGCUUUCCAUUAUAGAUGUCUCCGCGCUGCAUUAGCUACUGGGUUAGGUAACGGCUUACCAAGGCAACGAUGCAUACCCGACCCGAGAGGGUGAUCGGCCACCCGGGAACGGAGAGACAGUGCAGACUCGUACGGGAGGCAGCGGUAGGGAAUCUUACGGGAAGGGCGAAAGCCUGAAGGAGGACAGCCGCGUGAGUGCUGAAGCUCUUCGGAUGGUGUAGCGCUGUUAGUAGUGAAGAAGUUAUGUGCAAGUAACUGUGCACAUCUUGACGGUACCUAAUCAGUAAGCCCCGGCUAACUACGUG
RNAcentral lists this ribosomal RNA (497 nucleotides) under uncultured bacterium. RNAcentral describes it as "partial 16S ribosomal RNA". It matches the Rfam family "Bacterial small subunit ribosomal RNA", at positions 28 to 507 of the family's 1533-position model. The record is from RNAcentral.